AAAUCCUAAAUCCUAAACUCUAAAACCAUAAAAGAAACAAAAUGUUUUUUUUUUUGAGAAAGAGGUAGCUGUUAGAAAAUUGCGUACGGUAAAACGCAGCGGAAAAGGAAAUCAAACAAAUUUGAUUUUGAAAAACUCUCGAGAUCUAAUCUCAAAAACCACGCAAUUAGGAUCCCUCAUGUUCUUUAAGAUUAAAGGAGAAAAGUAAGAUCGAAUCAUUACCUUUUUCGCGGAUAAAUUCUUGCCUCAAUUUGAUGAUCGUNG
RNAcentral lists this long non-coding RNA (264 nucleotides) under Ananas comosus (pineapple). Its description in RNAcentral is "long non-coding RNA (ACOM_LNC015139)". The record is from RNAcentral. Lineage: Eukaryota; Viridiplantae; Streptophyta; Magnoliopsida; Poales; Bromeliaceae.